UCCGCCAUAGCUCAACGGUAGAGCGUCCGACUGUUAAUCGGUAGGUUCUAGGUUCGAAUCCUAGUGGCGGAG
Molecule: transfer RNA, 72 nt
Filed under: Chloroflexota bacterium
Lineage: Bacteria; Bacillati; Chloroflexota
Also listed under: 1 other name
Description: tRNA-Asn
Rfam family: tRNA
About the family: Transfer RNA (tRNA) molecules are approximately 80 nucleotides in length. Their secondary structure includes four short double-helical elements and three loops (D, anti-codon, and T loops).
Source: RNAcentral